UGGAAACUGUNUGACUUGAGUGCAGAAGGGGAGAGUGGAAUUCCAUGUGUAGCGGUGAAAUGCGUAGAUAUAUGGAGGAACACCAGUGGCGAAAGCGGCUCUCUGGUCUGUCACUGACGCUGAGGCUCGAAAGCGUGGGUAGCGAACAGGAUUAGAUACCCUGGUAGUNCACGCCGUAAACGAUGAGUGCUAGGUGUUAGGCCCUUUCCGGGGCUUAGUGCCGGAGCUAACGCAAUAAGCACUCCGCCUGGGGAGUACGACCGCAAGGUUGAAACUCAAAGGAAUUGACGGGGGCCCGCACAAGCGGUGGAGCAUGUGGUUUAAUUCGAAGCAACGCGAAGAACCUUACCAGGUCUUGACAUCCCGAUGCUAUUCUUAGAGAUAGGAAGUUACUUCGGUACAUCGGAGACAGGUGGUGCAUGGUUGUCGUCAGCUCGUGUCGUGAGAUGUUGGGUUAAGUCCCGCAACGAGCGCAACCCUUAUUGUUAGUUGCCAUCAUUAAGUUGGGCACUCUAGCGAGACUGCCGGUAAUAAACCGGAGGAAGGUGGGGAUGACGUCAAAUCAUCAUGCCCCUUAUGACCUGGGCUACACACGUGCUACAAUGGUCGGUACAACGAGUUGCGAGCCGGUGACGGCAAGCUAAUCUCUGAAAGCCGAUCUCAGUUCGGAUUGGAGGCUGCAACUCGCCUCCAUGAAGUCGGAAUCGCUAGUAAUCGCGGAUCAGCACGCCGCGGUGAAUACGUUCCCGGGCCUUGUACACACCGCCCGUCACACCACGAGAGUUUGUAACACCCGAA
RNAcentral lists this ribosomal RNA (798 nucleotides) under uncultured bacterium. Its description in RNAcentral is "bacterial SSU rRNA". It matches the Rfam family "Bacterial small subunit ribosomal RNA", at positions 627 to 1425 of the family's 1533-position model. The record is from RNAcentral.